UGCCUAUACAUGCAAGUCGAACGAACUCUGGUAUUGAUUGGUGCUUGCAUCAUGAUUUACAUUUGAGUGAGUGGCGAACUGGUGAGUAACACGUGGGAAACCUGCCCAGAAGCGGGGGAUAACACCUGGAAACAGAUGCUAAUACCGCAUAACAACUUGGACCGCAUGGUCCGAGUUUGAAAGAUGGCUUCGGCUAUCACUUUUGGAUGGUCCCGCGGCGUAUUAGCUAGAUGGUGGGGUAACGGCUCACCAUGGCAAUGAUACGUAGCCGACCUGAGAGGGUAAUCGGCCACAUUGGGACUGAGACACGGCCCAAACUCCUACGGGAGGCAGCAGUAGGGAAUCUUCCACAAUGGACGAAAGUCUGAUGGAGCAACGCCGCGUGAGUGAAGAAGGGUUUCGGCUCGUAAAACUCUGUUGUUAAAGAAGAACAUAUCUGAGAGUAACUGUUCAGGUAUUGACGGUAUUUAACCAGAAAGCCACGGCUAACUACGUGCCAGCAGCCGCGGUAAUACGUAGGUGGCAAGCGUUGUCCGGAUUUAUUGGGCGUAAAGCGAGCGCAGGCGGUUUUUUAAGUCUGAUGUGAAAGCCUUCGGCUCAACCGAAGAAGUGCAUCGGAAACUGGGAAACUUGAGUGCAGAAGAGGACAGUGGAACUCCAUGUGUAGCGGUGAAAUGCGUAGAUAUAUGGAAGAACACCAGUGGCGAAGGCGGCUGUCUGGUCUGUAACUGACGCUGAGGCUCGAAAGUAUGGGUAGCAAACAGGAUUAGAUACCCUGGUAGUCCAUACCGUAAACGAUGAAUGCUAAGUGUUGGAGGGUUUCCGCCCUUCAGUGCUGCAGCUAACGCAUUAAGCAUUCCGCCUGGGGAGUACGGCCGCAAGGCUGAAACUCAAAGGAAUUGACGGGGGCCCGCACAAGCGGUGGAGCAUGUGGUUUAAUUCGAAGCUACGCGAAGAACCUUACCAGGUCUUGACAUACUAUGCAAAUCUAAGAGAUUAGACGUUCCCUUCGGGGACAUGGAUACAGGUGGUGCAUGGUUGUCGUCAGCUCGUGUCGUGAGAUGUUGGGUUAAGUCCCGCAACGAGCGCAACCCUUAUUAUCAGUUGCCAGCAUUAAGUUGGGCACUCUGGUGAGACUGCCGGUGACAAACCGGAGGAAGGUGGGGAUGACGUCAAAUCAUCAUGCCCCUUAUGACCUGGGCUACACACGUGCUACAAUGGAUGGUACAACGAGUUGCGAACUCGCGAGAGUAAGCUAAUCUCUUAAAGCCAUUCUCAGUUCGGAUUGUAGGCUGCAACUCGCCUACAUGAAGUCGGAAUCGCUAGUAAUCGCGGAUCAGCAGCCG
Molecule: ribosomal RNA, 1346 nt
Filed under: Lactiplantibacillus plantarum
Lineage: Bacteria; Bacillati; Bacillota; Bacilli; Lactobacillales; Lactobacillaceae
Description: bacterial SSU rRNA
Rfam family: Bacterial small subunit ribosomal RNA
Source: RNAcentral